This 1497-nucleotide ribosomal RNA is filed under the name uncultured bacterium. RNAcentral describes it as "16S ribosomal RNA". It matches the Rfam family "Bacterial small subunit ribosomal RNA". The record is from RNAcentral.
GUUUGAUUAUGGCUCAGGAUGAACGCUGGCGGCAUGCCUAAUACAUGCAAGUCGAACGGAGUGAAGCCUUCGGGUUUCAUUCAGUGGCGAACGGGUGAGUAAUACGCAGGGAACCUGGCCAUGGCAGGGGGAUACACUCUGGAAACGGAGCAUAAGACCCCAUAGGCAGUAAGGCGGCAUCGCCUUACUGUUAAAGAAAGCUGAAAGGCUUUGGCGAUGGAUGGACCUGCGGUGCAUUAGCUUGUUGGUGAGGCAACGGCUUACCAAGGCGAUGAUGCAUAGCCGGCCUGAGAGGGCGGACGGCCACACUGGGACUGAGACACGGCCCAGACUCCUGCGGGAGGCAGCAGUAGGGAAUUUUCGUCAAUGGGCGCAAGCCUGAACGAGCAAUGCCGCGUGAGUGAGGAAGGUCUUCGGACUGUAAAGCUCUGUUGCCGGGGAAAAAGGGGAAAUGCAGGAAAUGGCAUUUCAUGGAUGGUACCCGGCCAGAAAGCCACGGCUAACUACGUGCCAGCAGCCGCGGUAAUACGUAGGUGGCGAGCGUUAUCCGGAAUGAUUGGGCGUAAAGGGUGCGCAGGCGGUCUGUUAAGUCUGAAGGCAAAGGGAUGAGCUCAACUCAUUUAUGAUUCAGAAACUGGCAGACUUGAGGACAGGAGAGGGCGGUGGAACUCCAUGUGUAGCGGUAAAAUGCGCAGAGAUAUGGAAGAACACCAGUGGCGAAGGCGGCCGCCUGGCCUGUGACUGACGCUGAGGCACGAAAGCGUGGGGAGCAAAUAGGAUUAGAUACCCUAGUAGUCCACGCCGUAAACGAUGAGGAGCAGGUGUUGGGAGUGAAAUCUCAGUGCCGAAGCCAACGCAGUGACUCCUCCGCCUGGGGAGUAUGCACGCAAGUGUGAAACUCAAAGGAAUUGACGGGGGCCCGCGCAAGCGGUGGAGUAUGUGGUUUAAUUCGAAGCAACGCGAAGAACCUUACCAGGUUUUGACAUCGGAUGCGAAGGCGCAGAGAUGCGCUGGAGGCUAUCAUCCAGACAGGUGGUGCAUGGUUGUCGUCAGCUCGUGUCGUGAGAUGUUCAGUUAAGUCUGGCAACGAGCGCAACCCCCGUGGUAUGUUACUAACGCAUUUGGGCGAGGACUCAUAUCAGACUGCCGGUGACAAACCGGAGGAAGGCGGGGAUGACGUCAAAUCAUCAUGCCCCUUAUGACCUGGGCUACACACGUACUACAAUGGCGUCUACAGAGGGAAGCGACCCUGAGAAGGGAAGCGAAACCGGAAAAGGGCGUCCCAGUUCGGAUUGAAGUCUGCAACCCGACUUCAUGAAGAUGGAAUCGCUAGUAAUCGCGGAUCAGCAUGCCGCGGUGAAUACGUUCCCGGGCCUUGUACACACCGCCCGUCAAACCAUGGAAGCCGGCAACGCCCGAAGCCGGUGGCAUAACCUUUUAGGAGUGAGCCGUCGAAGGCGGGGCCGAUGACUGGGGUUAAGUCGUAACAAGGUAUCC